Molecule: non-coding RNA, 48 nt
Filed under: Schistosoma mansoni
Lineage: Eukaryota; Metazoa; Platyhelminthes; Trematoda; Strigeidida; Schistosomatidae
Source: RNAcentral
AUCCGGCUGAUGAGUUCCAAAUAGGACGAAACACGCAUCAAACUGGAU